GACGAACGCUGGCGGCGUGCCUAAUACAUGCAAGUAGAACGCUGAAGAGAGGAGCUUACUCUUCUUGGAUGAGUUGCGAACGGGUGAGUAACGCGUAGGUAACCUGCCUUGUAGCGGGGGAUAACUAUUGGAAACGAUAGCUAAUACCGCAUAACAAUGGAUGACACAUGUCAUUUAUUUGAAAGGGGCAAUUGCUCCACUACAAGAUGGACCUGCGUUGUAUUAGCUAGUAGGUGAGGUAAUGGCUCACCUAGGCGACGAUACAUAGCCGACCUGAGAGGGUGAUCGGCCACACUGGGACUGAGACACGGCCCAGACUCCUACGGGAGGCAGCAGUAGGGAAUCUUCGGCAAUGGGGGCAACCCUGACCGAGCAACGCCGCGUGAGUGAAGAAUGUUGUCGGAUCGUAAAGCUCUGUUGUAAGUCAAGAACGGGUGUGAGAGUGGAAAGUUCACACUGUGACGGUAGCUUACCAGAAAGGGACGGCUAACUACGUG
RNAcentral lists this ribosomal RNA (497 nucleotides) under uncultured bacterium. RNAcentral describes it as "partial 16S ribosomal RNA". It matches the Rfam family "Bacterial small subunit ribosomal RNA", at positions 28 to 507 of the family's 1533-position model. The record is from RNAcentral.